ACAGGUUAUUUCCAGCUUCACCUGGAUUUAUGAACUUCAAAGUGUCUACCAAGCUAUCUUGGGUAAUUGAAACAUGGAACAGCCUGGAUUCAAAUCCUCUUACAUAGUCCCUACGCAGAAACUUGGGGUUUUGCAAGAUUUUGAAAAAUAAAGAUAACAUAUGUUUCUUGAAUGAUGCUCUCAAGUCCCUCCUAAUAUGUGAGUGGUUCCUUACCAAGGCAUAAAGAGUUGAUGCCUUCUUUUAAUCAUCCUACUUCUAAAAGGCUUAUCUGGAGUUUUGGGUAGGUAUGAUGGUGGAACUUACUUACCCUGCAUAUGUUGUCGAGUCAAACCCAGGACCAUACCGGAGGGAGUGCGCCAUACCCUUAGAUCAGAAUGUGCAAGUGUGUGGAAUUUUUGGUGGAAUCCUAUCACUACUUUUAUUUCAACAUUCCUUGCAUCAAGACUCUCUCUUGAAAUUAGAUGAAAAACUUGAGAGGAUAUGGGCUAUAACGCAAAUUAUGAUUUUUUUUUAUUUUUUUGGAUGGGUAUGAAUCUUUCCCCGUUUUGCCCUUUUGGCUUUUUCACAUAAUAAUUAUAUAUAUAGCCCAUUCCUAUGAUUCUGAUGAAAACGAAAGAGAGCUUUAUGAUAACAAAUGCAAGGAAUGUAUAUGAAUGCACAAUUCUUAGGGUGAGAUAUUGGCAUUUUUAUUUGGUGGAUAUAUGUGCGCAACCCUCAGUGUAAGAGUUGGCGAAAUUUUGGGUGGAUGGAGAAAGCAUGUUGUGCGUGACUUCUCAGUGUGAGAGUCGGCUUUUAUAUGGUGGGUGCAAGUGAAUUAUGAUGUUAGAGGCAUGAAACAUCUCUCGACAGCGGUCCAAAAAUUUGACUAAACUCAACACAGAGCAAGCAGCAUAUGUAGAAGGUUUAAUCAUGAACAAAUAUUUGGCCAUGGUAGGAAUAAAGCUUGACCAUUCAAGAAACUUGCUAUUGAAUUUUGCUUUUUAUAAAAGAAAACCCAAGUACUUUGCAAGAACCAGCAAGCAUCAUGUCAUCCUACUAUAUCACAUACAUCAAUUACUUAGAUAAAAUGGGGUCCCUAUAACAAGUGUUCAUAAAUCUCUAGGCAUAUUAGCUAAGAAUAAAAAGUAUACAAAAACAUAUUUGAACAUAGGUAGACAUAUUCGAUGGAGUACGAAGGUAACAUCAUUUUAAACAUUUCAUUUGAAAAUCUUUUUGGGGGGAAGAGGGUUUGCACAAACCGAGAUUUUUGAUUGAAUAGUCCUUCCCCCACACUUGUUUUCUUUCCUGUCAUGGUUAGUCACAAUAUAUAUAGAAAACAAGUGCACAAGAUAAACAAACUUUUUUUAUUGAUAACUUUGAAUAGGCACAUUACAUUGGAAGGGAAAAAAUAUUUGAAACAUAAAUAUUGUGAAAAGGAAAAAUGUGCCUAAACAAAGAUUCGUGCAGGAGGUGUG
RNAcentral lists this long non-coding RNA (1455 nucleotides) under Sorghum bicolor (sorghum). RNAcentral's name for it is "long non-coding RNA (SBIC_LNC010868)". Lineage: Eukaryota; Viridiplantae; Streptophyta; Magnoliopsida; Poales; Poaceae. The record is from RNAcentral.